GACGAACGCUGGCGGCGUGCCUAAUACAUGCAAGUAGAACGCUGAAGGAGGAGCUUGCUUCUCUGGAUGAGUUGCGAACGGGUGAGUAACGCGUAGGUAACCUGCCUGUUAGCGGGGGAUAACUAUUGGAAACGAUAGCUAAUACCGCAUAAUAGUAGAUGUUGCAUGACAUUUGCUUAAAAGGUGCAAUUGCAUCACUACCAGAUGGACCUGCGUUGUAUUAGCUAGUUGUUGGGGUAACGGCUCACCAAGGCGACGAUACAUAGCCGACCUGAGAGGGGGAUCGGCCAAACUGGGACUGAGACACGGCCCAGACUCCUACGGGAGGCAGCAGUAGGGAAUCUUCGGCAAUGGACGGAAGUCUGACCGAGCAACGCCGCGUGAGUGAAGAAGGUUUUCGGAUCGUAAAGCUCUGUUGUAAGAGAAGAACGAGUGUGAGAGUGGAAAGUUCACACUGUGACGGUAUCUUACCAGAAAGGGACGGCUAACUACGUG
Molecule: ribosomal RNA, 495 nt
Filed under: uncultured bacterium
Lineage: Bacteria
Description: partial 16S ribosomal RNA
Rfam family: Bacterial small subunit ribosomal RNA
Source: RNAcentral